RNAcentral lists this long non-coding RNA (2995 nucleotides) under Gossypium barbadense (sea-island cotton). RNAcentral describes it as "long non-coding RNA (GBAR_LNC011803)". Lineage: Eukaryota; Viridiplantae; Streptophyta; Magnoliopsida; Malvales; Malvaceae. The record is from RNAcentral.
CAAGGAGAAACCAUGGCUAGGGUUUUUCAAGCUUCCAAGCUCGAUUGUAAGUCCGUUCUAGCCUCGUUUUUAAUGAUUUUUACGUUUUUAGAGUCCCGGUAGCUCGAUUAAGCUUAUGCUAGCAAUAAUUUAACCUAGGGUUUAUAUUUGGAAAAAUACCCAUAGGUGAAAUUUGUGUAUUUUGGUGUUUUAUGAUAGAAUAUGAGGUUUUAAAUUAUAUUAGACAACUUGUGCUACUUGGUUUUAAGCGAAAACUAGCAAAAGGGCUUAAUCGGUAAAAAUACCUAAUAGUCAUAAGUACAUGUUAGAGUGAGAAUUUGAUGUUGCCAUAGAAGGGAAAAAUGAUCAGCAUGUCAUAAAACAUAAGAAAAUAGGCUGAAGUUUAAUUUACGAGCUUUGGGGUAAAAGUGCAAAUAUGCAAAAGUUUAGGGGCAAAACUGUAAUUUUUCCAAAAUAUGAUUUUGGGUCAAUUUGAAUAAUGUGAGUCCUAAUUAGACCAUAUUUUAAAUGAUAGAGCAAGGAAAACUGAAAUUCGGGCUAAAAUGAAAAAAAUACCAAGUUGUGGACGAAAUGGUAAAAGUAGCCAUUUUCGCAUACGAGGUAAGUUCAUGUGUAAAUAAUGUAGCAUAAUUGUUAUUUUUAAGUUAUUGAUGUUAAUUAUAUGAUAUGCUGAUUUUUUUAUCAUGAAAUAUUAUGCUUUGUGGUUAAUGUUGAGUAAUAUGCAAAUUAUGUUUACUACUUGAUAAAUAUGAAUUGCUACCGAGUAUCGGUUCCGAUAUUCCAUGGAAGACGGCAAUGUGAGAUCGAGGAAAAAAUCCCGUUUGAACCUUAGGAAUAGAUUAGGAUACAAGUGACAUGUCACUAGGAUGGUUGAGCAUCCGAACUCGUUGAGUUGAGUCCGAGUUCACUUAUGGAUGCGAAUGUCCGAACUCGUUGAGUUGAGUCCGAGUUCGUGAAAUGUAACUAGGCAUCCGAACUCGUUGAGUUGAGUCCGAGUUCACUUAUGGAUGCGAACGCCCGAGCUCGUUGAGUUGAGUCCGAGUUCACUUAGGGGCGGGUUACAUGAUUUCUUGAUUACAUAUGAGGCACUUAUGUGCAAAUUAUCCGUGUAUCCGAGUUGUAUUCCGAUUUGUUCAACGGGUGAAAUUUCUAGUGAAAUGAAAGAACACUUAAGAUGCAAGUGACAUUUUGGUAAGUGUUGUGAAAUGGACACUUUGGACAGGUAUGUUCUUAACCCUCGGGUUGAUAAUAGAUACAACAACGAUAAGGUAGUAAGAUGAUGAAUGAUGUUUAGAAAUAUGAUAUAUGUUUUGGUGAUACCAUGCUAAAGUUGUUUGGUAUAUUUGUAUUGUUAUGUUACUUGUUAUUUACAUAUGAACUUACUAAGCAUUUAUGCUUACUCCCUACUCUUUAUUUACUGUAGUUUUGAACAAGCCAGCUCGGGAAUCGGGACGGGUCGAAGGUUCGAUCACACUAUCCAAAGGACUUUCAUCUGGGUAAAUGGCUUGUAAAACUUAAGUAUGACAUGUAUAGCAAUAUAUUUAUUUUGUGUAAAUAAUUUUAUGAUAUGGCCAUGAUUGGUUGAGAAAAUGUUUGAUAUUGAUAAGUCAUGGUGAUGGUUAAAUUUAGAUCAUGUUUGAUAUCAUGGAAGUUUAAUAGGUUAUCUAGUUCAUAACAACUCAUGAAAAGAUGAAAUUUGCCUUAAAACAGAAUAUUGCUGCAGCAAUGACAUGAAUUUGAAAAAUUACUAAAAAUAGUAUAAAUGGAAUUAAAUGAUGAGCAAGUUAUGAAAUUGAAGCUUAAUGAGUCUAUUUUCAUAUGGAUAAAAAAAAACAGGCAUAUAAAUUAUACUUUAUGAGAUAUUUGAAACCUUGUGAAACAGGGCCAGAGUGAUUUCUGGAUCCUCUGUUCUGACUUUAAAAAUUCAUAAUAAAUUGUAAAAAAAUAAUUAGAAGUCAUUAUUUAUAUUUAAAGAUUCCUUAUAGAGUCUAGUUUUAAUAGAAACAAAGCUCAUAGUCAUUUAAAUUCUGUAUAGAGAGAUAUCUGAUUCUUAAUAUAUAGAUGUCAGAGCAGUCGAACCCUGAAACAGGGGAGACUUUAACUAAUAAACUGUACUAAUUUGCCCAACCAAAAAUUCUAGAAAAAAAUUAUUAAAUAGAUAUAUGAGUCUAGAUUUAGGGAAAAUUUACGGAUCUUGAUUUCGAGUUUCGUAACCCGAGGUAUGAUUUUUCUUGUAACUGUGAUGCGAGUAGCUAGAAAGCUGUGAAUGUAGAAACAAAAGAUUUGAAGUUCUUAAUUUGAUAAAUUAUGUUCGGUAACUCCUCAAGCUCGACUCCGGCGACGUUUUCGGGCGUGGGGGCGUUACAUUAUCUGUAAUAUUAGUUUACUAAAUGUCGGAUGAAGUAGGAUUCAUUGUUUUCUAUAUAUGAAUCAUUGUGUUUUGGCUUUUGUAACAAUUUCUGCAACAUAAUCUGUCUAUUUAAUUGGUUGUACUGAAUAAGUGCUUGGAAUAAUUGUAUGAAAUUAUUGUUUCAUGAUCUGAAUCAAUGAUGAGGCUUCUAUUAUAUCAUUCAAGAGAUUAAAAUCUUUAAUGUCUAAGCUCUGCAUGGGUUUUUCAUUGGUCUUGCAGCAGCCUUUCUUGGUGAUUCUAAGUCUUUGAUGCUUAGUAAGGCAGACAGUUAUAAUUUCUAAGAGAAUUUGAACCAUUUGAGAUUUAAUCUCAGCACUAAAAGCUACUAGAAGUUUGUGAUAUUGUUCUUGAAAACAACAUUUGUUUAUUUUCUUGUGCAUCAAAAUAUUGUAGGGCUAACGUGAACCUCUUGCAGCUUUCAAGUUACAAGCGAGCAAAGAAAAUGGAGAAAGGUGGUUAUGAAGAGUGGAAAUCAUCUGUUCUAUCAUCUAACAAAAAAAAAAACACAAAAAUUUUCUCAAUGUUGAAGAUAUUGAUACUUUUAUGUGGUGUAAUAUUUAGUUAUGCACUUGGACAAUGUUGUUA